RNAcentral lists this long non-coding RNA (429 nucleotides) under Homo sapiens (human). RNAcentral's name for it is "non-protein coding lnc-TRIM3-2:1". Lineage: Eukaryota; Metazoa; Chordata; Mammalia; Primates; Hominidae. The record is from RNAcentral.
CACAUUCCCAGUAGAGUUGGAGGUGGGGGUGGUGCUGCUGCCAACUCUAUAUAGGGAGUUCAACUGGUCACCCAGAGCUGUCCUGUGGCCUCUGCAGCUCAGCAUGGCUAGGGUACUGGGAGCACCCGUUGCACUGGGGUUGUGGAGCCUAUGCUGGUCUCUGGCCAUUGCCACCCCUCUUCCUCCGACUAGUGCCCAUGGGAAUGUUGCUGAAGGCGAGACCAAGCCAGACCCAGACGUGACUGAACGCUGCUCAGAUGGCUGGAGCUUUGAUGCUACCACCCUGGAUGACAAUGGAACCAUGCUGUUUUUUAAAGGGACCCACUACUGGCGUCUGGACACCAGCCGGGAUGGCUGGCAUAGCUGGCCCAUUGCUCAUCAGUGGCCCCAGGGUCCUUCAGCAGUGGAUGCUGCCUUUUCCUGGGAAGA